GUUGGCUUAGAAGCAGCCACCCUUGAAAGAGUGCGUAAUAGCUCACUGGUCAAGUGAUUCCGCGCCGACAAUGUAGCGGGGCUCAAGCACACCGCCGAAGCUGUGGCAUUCACACUCGAGACAAGCCUUCGUGGUUCAGUCGUGUGGAUGGGUAGGGGAGCGUCGUGCCGCCAGCGAAGCCGCGGGGAAACCCAGUGGUGGAGGCGGCACGAGUGAGAAUGCAGGCAUGAGUAGCGAAUGACGGGUGAGAAACCCGUCCGCCGAAUGACCAAGGGUUCCAGGGCCAGGCUAAUCCGCCCUGGGUAAGUCGGGACCUAAGGCGAGGCCGACAGGCGUAGUCGAUGGACAACGGGUUGAUAUUCCCGUACCGGCGAAGAACCGCCCAUACCGAGCCCGGUGAUGCUAACCGUCCGAGCCUGCCCCAUCGUCCUUCGGGACACCGGGGCAGGGGAGCACGGGACCCGAACCGGUAGUAGGUAAGCGUAUUAACAGGAGUGACGCAGGAAGGCAGCCCAGCGUGGCGAUGGUAGUCCACGUCCAAGGUCGUAGGGUCAGGUGUAGGCAAAUCCGCACCUGGUGAAGCCUGAGAACCGACGGGUACCGCGUAUGCGGGAAAUGGGUGAUCCUAUGCUGCCAAGAAAAGCUUCGACGCGAGGUUCUAGCCGCCCGUACCCCAAACCGACUCAGGUGGUCAGGUAGAGAAUACCAAGGCGAUCGAGAGAAUCGUGGUUAAGGAACUCGGCAAAAUGCCCCCGUAACUUCGGGAGAAGGGGGGCCUCAAGCGUGAUCCACCCUCGCGGUGGUGAGCGUGGAGGGCCGCAGAGACCAGGGAGAAGCGACUGUUUACUAAAAACACAGGUCCGUGCGAAGUCGCAAGACGAUGUAUACGGACUGACGCCUGCCCGGUGCUGGAAGGUUAAGAGGACGGGUCAGCUCUUCGGAGCGAAGCUCAGAAUUUAAGCCCCAGUAAACGGCGGUGGUAACUAUAACCAUCCUAAGGUAGCGAAAUUCCUUGUCGGGUAAGUUCCGACCUGCACGAAUGGCGUAACGACUUCUCCGCUGUCUCAACCGCGAACUCGGCG
This 1082-nucleotide ribosomal RNA is filed under the name Cellulomonas sp. HD19AZ1. RNAcentral's name for it is "partial 23S ribosomal RNA". It matches the Rfam family "Bacterial large subunit ribosomal RNA", at positions 1100 to 2038 of the family's 2925-position model. The record is from RNAcentral. Lineage: Bacteria; Bacillati; Actinomycetota; Actinomycetes; Micrococcales; Cellulomonadaceae.